CAGCCUAGCGGCAGGAUUCCGGUUUCCUUGGCUACGCCAGAGAAAGGGAGGGUAAUUGAAGAGAGAGAAGCCGAGCGAAGGGCUGGUCCCUCGUCUUGUGUGGCGGCCGUGCUGUUGAAGGGAUGGGACAGAGCCGGGCCUAGCGGGGCAGCUGCCGCUAUGAGCGGAGCAGCAGCUGGUGGUGAGGGAAGGAGCGGCAACUCCCUGGCAGGCCGUUGGUCUGGCUGGAAACUGCUGGCUUUGGGCCUCCUCUCCGCUUCUUCGGUGUUGGCGGCAGCGCCGGCUGCGCAGGCUAUGAGCAGGGAGGAGAAGCGUCAUCUCGGAAAUCAAGUACUGGAAAUGUUUGAUCAUGCCUAUAGUAAUUACAUGGAACAUGCUUACCCAGCUGAUGAGCUCAUGCCUUUAACUUGCCGUGGAAGAGUUCGGGGUCAAGAACCAAGUCGUGGGGAUGUGGAUGAUGCCUUGGGAAAGUUAGUAUUUUGAAAUAAUUAUACUUAUUUGAAGCAUCAGUAUUUAGUUUAAAUGUGAUGCUGUUGAUCCAUUAUUACAAACCACAUAAAACUGAAUUUAAAUUCUGAAUGAAUAACCAUAAAAAGAACAGGAAUAUAUACGAAAAUGAAGAAAAACAAAAUCAGACUAAUAAUUGCAUGAUACAUGAAUACUAUUAUAUUUGUUUAAAAUAUUUUUCACCUGUGUAGUAUCUGGAGAAUCUUGUAGCAGAUUAUAGUGUUUAAGUAACAUAAAGCAGUAAAAUCAAGUAAGAUAAAUAGCAUCUUAAUUUAAAAUACGCAGUAAUAAUCACAUUGACACUGACAGAGAGGCAUUUACUGAAAAGGCUGUUCAUAUUAUGAGUACUAAGCUCUGAAUAUGAGAGUAAAAAGUUAAGGGGAAAAUUUCGUACAUUCAAGGUUUUGCAAGACUAUAAAGUGAGUUUAACUUUCUGUGCCAUAGUUCUGAUAAAAAUUGUGUCUUCAAAAAGUAUAUCUCUUCUAGGAUCAUAACCUAGAAGGAAACAGUUUUGACUCAACAUUCAAGUGAUCCCAUAAUUUCACAAACCCCUAUAGGGUUGAAGAGAGUAAUUGCAGCAUAUUUUGGCCCUCCAGACAAAAUCACUUGGUUCUUAAUUUUGAAAAAACUAAAAUUCUGAUCUUUGCUAAGAGAGCCACCCAACAAUCCUGGAGAGUAGAAGGGUACUGUACAAAUUAGAGCAGGUUACUGCAUUUAAAUAACGUUGAGGUGGCUUUCUACUCUAAAGGCACUUGGAACGUGCAUCAGAAUCACGUUGUAUAGCUAGCUCUUAGGUCUACAAGUGCUGUUAAGCGCUUCUACAAGUGGAGGACAAUCCCUGCACUGUUAAAACUUUUUGAGGCCAAACCACUGACCCAAAUCCUUUAUGAUGCAGAAGUAGGGAUUUAUGUGAAGAAGGAUGCACUGGAAACAGUGCAAACAAACAUUUUGAGAUCAAUCCUCACUGCACCCAGUGGAACAGCAAAUGCCUGGUUAAGGCUUGAGGCAGGAAUCCCUGCUAUCUAGGUAAGGGCUUGGGGGAUGAUGAUAAACUACUGGCUAAAAAUCCAAUUCUUCUUAGUUGGACUGACCCCUUUAGUUAUAAUAGACAAUUUUCCUUCUCCCUGGAAACAGGCUGUAGAGCAGAAGUUGGCAUUACAUGGGUUUUCUGUAUCAUUCCUAAUUUCUUUAGGAUAUGACGAAGCCAAACAACUGCUCACCCAAAGAAUAAGGGAUAUGGAGUUUCAGACUGAAGUUAAUAGGCUGCCCCAACAUGGCAGAAAUUGGAUAAAUAAGGGCACUUGGGAACCAGCAAGAUAUUUACAAAAUCUAACUUUCCCCAAACUAAGGAUAGCAUUUUUCAAAGCCAAGUAUAACAUUCUUACCAUCCAUACUGCUGCAAGACAGACACUCCAAAACCCCAUUAACUGAGCGUACCUGCCUAUGUGGCAACAAGGAGAUCAAAACCAGUUCACAUAUAUUAUUACACUGUAAAUUCUAUGGGGAUAUCAGGUCUGCUUAUAUUCUGCCCCUAAUAUGUAAAUUUCCAGGAAGGCCAGACAAUUUCUAUGAACCACCUUUUAGAAGAUUGGAAACCAUUUAUCACUUGUGCAGUGGCCAAAUUCUGUGUUGCCACGAUGAAAAUAAGGCAGAACUGAUUACAGAAAUAAUCACUUCUGUUUUAUUUAUCACUUUAGGUUUAACACAUAUUAGCUCUCUUGUUUUUAGCUUAUAUAUAUUUUACUUCACAGAUUGUAAUAUUUUAGAUUUACAUUUGCACAGAUAAUGAAUACAUCAUUAUAGUAGUGCGUGCCACAUUUUUAUGUUAUUUUAUCUUUGUUAUGCUAGUAUUUUAUCUCAUCUAUUUGAUUUUAC
Molecule: non-coding RNA, 2382 nt
Organism: Python bivittatus (Burmese python)
Lineage: Eukaryota; Metazoa; Chordata; Lepidosauria; Squamata; Pythonidae
Source: RefSeq, a predicted model, not a curated record